Molecule: small RNA, 319 nt
Filed under: Callithrix jacchus (white-tufted-ear marmoset)
Lineage: Eukaryota; Metazoa; Chordata; Mammalia; Primates; Cebidae
Description: Metazoan signal recognition particle RNA (ENSCJAG00000059927.2)
Source: RNAcentral
GCCGGGUGUGGUGGAAUGUGCCUGUAAUCCCAGCUACUUGGGAGGCUGAGGCAGGAGAAUUGCUUGAACAUGGGAGGCGGAGGUUAUAGUGAGCUGAGAUCGUGCCACUGCACUCCAGCCUGGGUGACAGAGUGAGACUCCGUAUCGAAAAAAAAAAGUUACUAUACACAUUCAAAACAGUUAUAACAAGGAUAGUAAGAAUAAUAAUUUUAUUUUUUGAGGCAGAUACUCACUCUGUUGCCCAGGCUGGAGUGCAGUGGCACGAUCUCAGUUCACUGCAACCUCAGCCUCCUGGGUUCAAGUAAUUCUCCUGCCUCAG